This 638-nucleotide unclassified non-coding RNA is filed under the name Nannizzia praecox. RNAcentral's name for it is "sequence contains 18S rRNA gene, ITS1, 5.8S rRNA gene, ITS2, 28S rRNA gene". The stretch from base 250 to 403 matches the Rfam family "5.8S ribosomal RNA". Lineage: Eukaryota; Fungi; Ascomycota; Eurotiomycetes; Onygenales; Arthrodermataceae. The record is from RNAcentral.
GUAACAAGGUUUCCGUAGGUGAACCUGCGGAAGGAUCAUUAACGCGCAGGCCGCAGACGACCCUCCCCCGGAAGCUUCCGGGGGUGGUGGCGCCGGCCACACGCCCAUUCUUGUCUAUCUACCUGGUUGCCUCGGCGGGCCGCGCCCUCGAGCCGUUCGGGGGGACACCCCUGGACCGCGCCCGCCGGAGGAGUGAUUAAAAUCCAUGAAUACUGUUCAGUCUGAGCGUUAGCAAGUAAAAUCAGUUAAAACUUUCAACAACGGAUCUCUUGGUUCCGGCAUCGAUGAAGAACGCAGCGAAAUGCGAUAAGUAAUGUGAAUUGCAGAAUUCCGUGAAUCAUCGAAUCUUUGAACGCACAUUGCGCCCUCUGGUAUUCCGGGGGGCAUGCCUGUUCGAGCGUCAUUUCAACCCCUCAAGCCCGGCUUGUGUGAUGGACGAACGUCCGGCCCUCCCCGCUCUCGGGGAGGGCGGACGCGCCCGAAAAGCAGUGGCCAGGCCGCGAUUCCGGCUCCUGGGCGAAUGGGCAACAAACCAGCGCCCCUAGGACCGGCCGGCUCUCUGGCCUAGUUCUUUUUUGUUUUUAACAAUCAGGUUGACCUCGGAUCAGGUAGGGAUACCCGCUGAACUUAAGCAUAUC